AUGAACGCUAGCGACAGGCCUAACACAUGCAAGUCAGGGGCAGCACAAGGAGCAAUCUGAGGUGGCGACCGGCGCACGGGUGAGUAACACGUAUGCAACCUGCCUGUAAGCGGGGAAUAACCCGUUGAAAGACGGACUAAUACCGCAUAAUACUAAAUUACUGCAAUGGUAAUUUAUUUAAACAUUUAUGGCUUACAGAUGGGCAUGCGCAUGAUUAGCUAGUUGGAGAGGUAACGGCUCCCCAAGGCAACGAUCAUUAGGGGUUCUGAGAGGAAGGUCCCCCACACUGGUACUGAGACACGGACCAGACUCCUACGGGAGGCAGCAGUGAGGAAUAUUGGUCAAUGGACGAGAGUCUGAACCAGCCAAGUCGCGUGCAGGAAGAAUGUUCCCUAUGGAUUGUAAACUGCUUUUGCAGGGGAAUAAAGUGCAUCACGUGUGAUGUUUUGUAUGUACUCUGCGAAUAAGGAUCGGCUAACUCCGUGCCAGCAGCCGC
This 496-nucleotide ribosomal RNA is filed under the name uncultured bacterium. RNAcentral describes it as "bacterial SSU rRNA". It matches the Rfam family "Bacterial small subunit ribosomal RNA", at positions 29 to 518 of the family's 1533-position model. The record is from RNAcentral.